GAAAUGCGAUAAGUAAUGUGAAUUGCAGAAUUCAGUGAAUCAUCGAAUCUUUGAACGCACAUUGCGCCCGCCAGUAUUCUGUCGGGCAUGCCUGUCCGAGCGUCAUUUCAACCAUCAAGCCCCCGGGCUUGUGUUGGGGACCUGCGGCUGCCCGCAGGCCCUGAAAACCAGUGGCGGGCUCGCUGUCACACCGAGCGUAGUAGCAAUCACCUCGCUCAGGGCGUGCUGCGGGUUCCGGCCGUUAAACAGCCUUACAAAACCCAAGGUUGACCUCGGAUCAGGUAGGAAGACCCGCUGAACUUAAGC
This 306-nucleotide unclassified non-coding RNA is filed under the name plant metagenome. Its description in RNAcentral is "partial contains 5.8S ribosomal RNA, internal transcribed spacer 2, and large subunit ribosomal RNA". The stretch from base 1 to 105 matches the Rfam family "5.8S ribosomal RNA", at positions 50 to 154 of the family's 154-position model. The record is from RNAcentral.